Molecule: ribosomal RNA, 545 nt
Filed under: uncultured bacterium
Lineage: Bacteria
Description: bacterial SSU rRNA
Rfam family: Archaeal small subunit ribosomal RNA
Source: RNAcentral
AGUGAAUAGAUACCCGGGUAGUCCUAGCUGUAAACGCUGCGAGCUGGAUAUUGCGUUUUCUUUGUGAAAAAGCGCAGUGUCGUAACGAAAGUGUUAAGCUCGCCACCUGGGAAGUAUAGUCGCAAGACCCGAAACUUAAAGGAAUUGGCGGGGGCUCACCACAACAGGUGCGGCGUGCGGUUUAAUCUAACUCUACGCAGAGAAUCUCACCAGGAGCGACGGCAGGAUGAAAGUCAGGUUAAUGACCUUACUUAACGAGCCGAGAGGUAUUGCAUGGCCGUCGUCAGCUCGUGCCGUAAGGUGUCUGGUUAAGUCCAGCAACGAGCAAGACCUAUACCUACAAUUGCUAACGAGUUUAAUGAUCGAGCACUUUGUAGGAACUGCCCUUGAAAGGGGGUAGGAAGGUGUAGGCUACGGUAGGUCUGUAUGGUCCGAAUCUUCUGGGCAACACGCGCGCAACAAUGGUAGGAACAAUGGGAUGCAACUCCGUAAACGGAGAAGCUAAUCCUCUAAAUCCUAUCUCAGUACGGAUUGAGGAUUGUAAC